Parelaphostrongylus tenuis is the source of this 71-nucleotide non-coding RNA. Lineage: Eukaryota; Metazoa; Nematoda; Chromadorea; Rhabditida; Metastrongylidae. The record is from the annotation of a GenBank genome assembly.
GUUUUGGUGGUGUAGUGGUAGCACGCGGCCGCGGUAUGGCUGAAACACGGGUUCAACUCUCGUCUGAGGUU